This 416-nucleotide ribosomal RNA is filed under the name uncultured Anaerolineaceae bacterium. RNAcentral describes it as "bacterial SSU rRNA". It matches the Rfam family "Bacterial small subunit ribosomal RNA", at positions 951 to 1382 of the family's 1533-position model. Lineage: Bacteria; Bacillati; Chloroflexota; Anaerolineae; Anaerolineales; Anaerolineaceae. The record is from RNAcentral.
UCGUUGCUACACGAAGAACCUUACCUGGGUUUGACAUAGUAGGUUGUAGGGAACUGAAAGGGACCGACCCUUCGGGGAGCCUAUACAGGUGUUGCAUGGCUGUCGUCAGCUCGUGUCGUGAGAUGUCGGUUAAGUCCGCUAACGAGCGCAACCCUCGUCGUAUGUUAUAUGUGUCAUACGAGACUGCCGGUAAAAGCCGGAGGAAGGUGAGGAUGAUGUCAAGUCAGCAUGACCUUUAUAUCCAGGGCUACACACACGCUACAAUGGUCUGUACAAUGGGUAGCCAAGCCGCGAGGCGGAGCCAAUCCUGAAAGCAGGCCUCAGUUCAGAUUGCAGUCUGCAACUCGACUGCAUGAAGCCGGAGUUGCUAGUAACCGCAGGUCAGCAAUACUGCGGUGAAUACGUUCCCGGGUCUU